UACGGGGGGAGCAAGCGUUGUUCGGAUUUACUGGGCGUAAAGGGCGCGUAGGCGGUCGUGACAAGUCACUUGUGAAAUCUCCGGGCUUAACUCGGAACGGUCAAGUGAUACUGUCGGACUAGAGUACAGAAGGGGCAACUGGAAUUCUCGGUGUAGCGGUGAAAUGCGUAGAUAUCGAGAGGAACACCUGGCGGCGAAGGCGGGUUGCUGGGCUGA
RNAcentral lists this ribosomal RNA (216 nucleotides) under uncultured bacterium. RNAcentral's name for it is "partial 16S ribosomal RNA". It matches the Rfam family "Bacterial small subunit ribosomal RNA", at positions 524 to 737 of the family's 1533-position model. The record is from RNAcentral.